AUAGUACUCCCUUCGUUCCACAAUACAUGACUUCCAUUUAUUAAUAUAUAGAUGUAUCUAGACAUGUUUUAGUAUAUAGGUACAUCCAUUUUUGAACAAAUGAAAGUCAAGUAAUUUUGAACGGAAGGAGUACAUG
Non-coding RNA from Triticum aestivum (bread wheat), 136 nucleotides. The record is from Rfam. Lineage: Eukaryota; Viridiplantae; Streptophyta; Magnoliopsida; Poales; Poaceae.